UACGAAGGGGGCUAGCGUUGUUCGGAAUCACUCGGCGUAAAGCGCACGCAGGCGGAUCGAUAAGUCGGGGGUGAAAGCCCGGGGCUCAACCUCGGAAUUGCCUUCGAUACUGUCGGGCUCGAGUCCGGGAGAGGUGAGUGGAAUUCCUGGUGGAGAGGUGAAAUUCGUAGAUAUUAGGAAGAACACCAGUGGCGAAGGCGGCUCACUGGCCCGGUACUGACGCUCAGGUGCGAAAGCGUGGGGAGCAAACAGG
Molecule: ribosomal RNA, 253 nt
Filed under: uncultured bacterium
Lineage: Bacteria
Description: partial 16S ribosomal RNA
Rfam family: Bacterial small subunit ribosomal RNA
Source: RNAcentral